This 319-nucleotide long non-coding RNA is filed under the name Trifolium pratense (red clover). Its description in RNAcentral is "long non-coding RNA (TPRA_LNC009034)". Lineage: Eukaryota; Viridiplantae; Streptophyta; Magnoliopsida; Fabales; Fabaceae. The record is from RNAcentral.
AAAAUGGUAAGUACUAAUUCAAGACACUAGAAAUGUAGGAAAAUAAACUGCAAACAAAGGAGCUUUGGCCUGGAAGUGUUCAAUCAUGCAUGUUAAUAUUUUUGGGGCUUAAAUAUGUAUUUAGUCCCUGCAAUUUCACCACAUUUUGGUAUUAGUCCCUGUAUUUUGUUUUGUUGGGUUUAAAUCCCUGCAAUUUCAAAACAGUUUGCUUUUGGUCCCUGUUACCACUCACCCGUUACAAAAAUAGUUAGAGCUAACGGAGUGCCACGUGGUCCAGUCAAUGUAAGCCACGUGGCACUUGAAAAGUCUCACUUUUUUC